CGGGACAGGUGGUUAGGUUUAGAAAAGGCCUAGAAGAAAUUGGCGCUCGCUUGCUUCAUACGGUAGCAGAAACAGUAGGGUGAUUUUACAUGGUUUUUUCUUUUCGUAUCCCGAGUGGUUGGUUUUAGCAAUUGUGAUUACCAUGCGUACUAAUGUCUGAAAUGGUUAGAUACUACCGGACAGAGGCGGAUCCAUUAAGGCGCAAAGAGGUGUAGCUGCACUUUCUUUUGUCGAAAAAAUCAUUGUAGGUGCUUUAAACUGCCUAUUUGCUCAACUGGUGUACAGAUUACCUUAUUUCCAUUUUCAACUUGUCCUUUUACUUUAAUUUAUUUUUAUAUUACUCAAUUUACUUAAGUUUACAAUGUAAAUAAGGAAAUACCCCCCAUUUGGAUUCAAAUAAAAAUACUAGAAAAUCAAAUUCCUACCAAAUCAAAAUAUGAAAAAUCGAUUUUAGUGCAAAAUACGAUUUAGGCUAAAAAUGAUGGCUCAUUAAGUCAAUAUAUAUUUCAUACUAAAAUCCCAUAAAAUCAAGUUUUCUUAUUUGAUGUGUAAGGAAUAAAAGCCGCCAAAAAUUACCUUGAGAAAAUGAUUAUUCCGAAAAACCAUUUUUCAUAUUUAAUCAAUUUUGCACCUCUGCUAAAAAAUUUAUGAGUCCGCCACUGCUACCGGAAUUGUAUGUGGCCUCACUUGGCUCGUAACCCAGAGCUUUUUGUCUGAUAAUCUGUCUUAAAUGAAAUUAUUCUGUUGUUAUUCUUGUCAUGUGUUGUUUCACCUUCCUCUUAGUCUCACCUGUCCUUUUCUUUUCUCACAGACGGCCAUAAGAAAUUUAUGCCCUACUCUGUCAACCAUUACUUUCUCUAGCUCGAGCUCUAAUGAAUUUCGAGGCCAUUCACCACCCAAAGGAAAAGAUGUAUAUGGUUGCGUAAUGGGGAUUUCUCUUCAUCUUCUCUCAUUGUUUUUGGCCGACAGAGAAAAGGAAGG
This 981-nucleotide long non-coding RNA is filed under the name Prunus dulcis (almond). RNAcentral describes it as "sRNA ncRNA". Lineage: Eukaryota; Viridiplantae; Streptophyta; Magnoliopsida; Rosales; Rosaceae. The record is from RNAcentral.